GAUGAACGCUGGCGGCGUGCCUAAUACAUGCAAGUCGAGCGAACGGACGAGAAGCUUGCUUCACUGAUGUUAGCGGCGGACGGGUGAGUAACACGUGGAUAACCUACCUAUAAGACUGGGAUAACUUCGGGAAACCGGAGCUAAUACCGGAUAAUAUUUUGAACCGCAUGGUUCAAAAGUGAAAGACGGUCUUGCUGUCACUUAUAGAUGGAUCCGCGCUGCAUUAGCUAGUUGGUAAGGUAACGGCUUACCAAGGCAACGAUGCAUAGCCGACCUGAGAGGGUGAUCGGCCACACUGGGACUGAGACACGGUCCUGACUCCUACGGGAGGCAGCGGUAGGGAAUCUUCCGCAAUGGGCGAAAGCCUGACGGAGCAACGCCGCGUGAGUGAUGAAGGUCUUCGGAUCGUAAAACUCUGUUAUUAGGGAAGAACAUAUGUGUAAGUAACUGUGCACAUCGUGACGGUACCUAAUCAGAAAGCCACGGCUAACUACGUG
Molecule: ribosomal RNA, 497 nt
Filed under: uncultured bacterium
Lineage: Bacteria
Description: partial 16S ribosomal RNA
Rfam family: Bacterial small subunit ribosomal RNA
Source: RNAcentral